GGACCAGUAUGUUGGUCGUGCUUCGGUACGUACUGUCAUUACCGGUUUCUACCUUCUGAAGAACCGCGAUGUCAUUAAUUUGGUGUCGUGGGGAAUCAGGACUGUUACUUUGAAAAAAUUAGAGUGUUCAAAGCAGGCGUAACCUUGCCAUUGAAUAUUACAGCAUGGGAUAAUAGAAUA
This 180-nucleotide ribosomal RNA is filed under the name uncultured Glomeromycotina. RNAcentral's name for it is "partial small subunit ribosomal RNA". Lineage: Eukaryota; Fungi; Glomeromycota. The record is from RNAcentral.